This 200-nucleotide unclassified non-coding RNA is filed under the name Tremella sp. Its description in RNAcentral is "partial internal transcribed spacer 2". The record is from RNAcentral. Lineage: Eukaryota; Fungi; Basidiomycota; Tremellomycetes; Tremellales; Tremellaceae.
UUAAGUUCAGCGGGUAGUCCUACCUGAUUUGAGGUCAGAGUCCAAAAGAGCGCCACAAGGGGCAGUUAUGAGCGGGCCUUCACACCAUGCCAGGCGAAACUUAUCACGUCAGGCCGUGGAUGCUGAUCCCACUAAGUCAUUUGAGGCAAGCCGACAAACGGCAGACACCCAGGUCCAAGUCCACCCCAGAUCAAGAGACC